AACGGGAUUUAGUAGACAGAAGCUUCGGUGGAAGAUUACUAAUGAGAGUGGCGAACGGGUGAGUAACGCGUGAGCAACCUGCCUAUGACAGUGGGAUAGCCUCGGGAAACCGGGAUUAAUACCGCAUAAAAUCGUAGAAACACAUGUUUUAACGGUCAAAGAUUUAUCGGUCAUAGAUGGGCUCGCGUCUGAUUAGCUAGUUGGUGAGAUAACAGCCCACCAAGGCGACGAUCAGUAGCCGGUCUGAGAGGAUGAACGGCCACAUUGGAACUGAGACACGGUCCAAACUCCUACGGGAGGCAGCAGUGGGGAAUAUUGCACAAUGGGGGAAACCCUGAUGCAGCGACGCCGCGUGAACGAAGAAGGUAUUCGUAUCGUAAAGUUCUGUCCUAUGGGAAGAUAAUGACAGUACCAUAGAAGAAAGCUCCGGCUAAAUAC
This 438-nucleotide ribosomal RNA is filed under the name uncultured Finegoldia sp. Its description in RNAcentral is "bacterial SSU rRNA". It matches the Rfam family "Bacterial small subunit ribosomal RNA", at positions 65 to 504 of the family's 1533-position model. Lineage: Bacteria; Bacillati; Bacillota; Tissierellia; Tissierellales; Peptoniphilaceae. The record is from RNAcentral.